Nerophis ophidion (straightnose pipefish) is the source of this 793-nucleotide long non-coding RNA. RefSeq lists it as uncharacterized. Lineage: Eukaryota; Metazoa; Chordata; Actinopteri; Syngnathiformes; Syngnathidae. The record is from RefSeq and is a predicted model, not a curated record. The transcript is spliced from 3 exons.
UCCCGCCCACAUGCAAGGUUUAUCGCACCUGCAUUCUUAAUGAAACACGUAUGGCGAACAAAUACAGCAAAUACUCAUGAAAUCAGGAGAGUGUGUCCUACUUUCCGGCGGGCGGCCCCUUGCUGACUGACUGGAGGAUGCCCGUGGACCAGCUGGACCUGCUGGACAAACUGGUUGUGGAGCAGCUGUCGAGCCCUGAGUGGCCAUUGUUGGCUCAGCAGGUGUGACUGUGAAGAUGUUUACAGGACGCCUCUCAUCCUCCCCCUGGGUUGACAAUGACUAAUGCCCAUUGCUACAUGCAGGGAUUAACCAACAGGAUGUGAUGCACAGGCAUGUUGUAAUCAAGGCAUCAGCCACCAGAGGCCACUGUUGCAGGUAGAAAAUGUUAAUUGACUUGUUGAGUGUCCAGGUGGGGCGGUUUGGAUUUUUGUGAGAUUUAGGACAUGGCUUUUAAAAACAAUGCGUCUGUAUGGUUAAAUUCAGUGUUCUGUUGUCCACUUAUUUGUUUGUCCUCAUUAGGGUCACGUGUGAGCAGGAGUCUAUCCCAGCCAUUGGCGGUGUAGUUUCAGCUACACCACCACAUUUUCCUCUUUUUUCUUCUUUUUUUCAAAGUUGCACACCCAAUGGUCUUGUCUCUCUCUUUUCCGUGAUUUUCGUUGACUCUUAAACGUCACACCCGACAAGGGAUGUUUAACUCAUAUUGACUCGCAAUUGGCUUGUUUUGGUUGUGUUACAAUUGUGUAGUGAAAUAAUAAAUGUGAGACUCUUGGCCUGUGAUCCAUCCAUCCAUUUU